GCAAUGGAACCAAAUAAGACCCUAAUCGAAUUCAUCCAUCCAUCAUUUGUUCAUCUCAGUUCCCCUCCAUAUUUCCAACUCGUGUGGCGAUUUUCCGGCCAGCAUUGGAAGCUCCGGCCACCGUAUGAACAACCUACACAAUCGCAUCUUCACCGUCGACAGAUCUCUGGUAAAUAUUUACGCCUCUUGAAACCCUAAAAUUGCUUAAAACGGAAUCCUACGACUCGAUUUUUGCUCCGAUCAACUACUGACGCAACAGAGGCUACGAACCUUAUGGUUGCUGCACCAGUUGUAUAAAUCGUAUGAUCUUAUCAUCUUAGUUAAAUGCUAAAGGUAAAUCAAUUUAUGGCUUUGGUGCUCAUAUUUUUUUAUAUAACAAUAGUGUUUUAAAGGUAAAUCAAAGAAAAUGAUGAACUUGUGCCACUUCCGCCUUCAAGUGUACAAGUCAUUUAUCAACUGUACAAAAUUCAUAUCAAGAUGAGUCGGACAAAUAGUAAUUUCAUAUAUUAUUCUAUUAAUCUGUAUUGAUAUUAAGUUCUCUAAUUCUUUUUUGAUUGAUUAAUAACAUUUUUUAAUCAGCCUCAAUGACUAGUGUGUCACCACCAGACCUCUUAGCUUAAAAAACAAGCAUGCCUUAGUUUGAUGACAGAUUUUGACAACGACUUCAAUAGCCCUCAGGAUUACCAUACCAGCGACAAACAGAGGAAGUCACACUUGUAGAGCUUGAUGGAGACGGAGAUUACCACCUACUUUUUGAACUUGGAGGUAGUGGUGGAAUGUUGAGAAAAACUAGUUGUUGGAAAUGCGCACAAGGAUUGAAGAUGAUCAUUAAAGAAAAAAAGCCGAGCUUGAAACUAUGCGAAAAGAGUUUGCCAGCCAGCAACCCAACUUGGAAGCUAUGAUGCGGAAGGUUAUGAAACAAGUAGUUGGAGGUCGAGAUUAGUGGAAUGUUUUCACUUUUUUUAUUAUUGUAAUUGACUGUAAAGUUAUUUAAGUUUCGACAAACAUGUUGAAGUACACACUUUGAUUAUCAAUGAUAUCUUGUUUAUUAUUGUUUUCGUGUAA
Helianthus annuus (common sunflower) is the source of this 1065-nucleotide long non-coding RNA. RefSeq lists it as uncharacterized. The transcript is spliced from 4 exons. NCBI's taxonomy places the organism in Eukaryota, Viridiplantae, Streptophyta, Magnoliopsida, Asterales, Asteraceae. The record is from RefSeq and is a predicted model, not a curated record.